RNAcentral lists this ribosomal RNA (500 nucleotides) under uncultured bacterium. RNAcentral's name for it is "partial 16S ribosomal RNA". It matches the Rfam family "Bacterial small subunit ribosomal RNA", at positions 30 to 523 of the family's 1533-position model. The record is from RNAcentral.
AUUGAACGCUGGCGGAAUGCUUUACGCAUGCAAUUCGAACGGCAGCACGGACUUCGGUCUGGUGGCGAGUGGCGAACGGGUGAGUAAUGUAUCGGAACGUGCCCAGUCGUGGGGGAUAACGUAGUGAAAAUUACGCUAAUACCGCAUACGAGCUAUGGAUGAAAGCGGGGGAUCGCAAGACCUCGCGCGAUUGGAGCGGUCGAUAUCAGAUUAGGUAGUUGGUGGGGUAAAGGCCCACCAAGCCAACGAUCUGUAGCUGGUCUGAGAGGACGACCAGCCACACUGGAACUGAGACACGGUCCAGACUCCUACGGGAGGCAGCAGUGGGGAAUUUUGGACAAUGGGCGAAAGCCUGAUCCAGCCAUUCCGCGUGCAGGAUGAAGGCCCUCGGGUUGUAAACUGCUUUUGUACAGAACGAAAAGGUUUCUACUAAUACUAGGAGCUCAUGACGGUACUGUAAGAAUAAGCACCGGCUAACUACGUGCCAGCCGCCGCGGUAA